GGCCUUAAAAAAAAUCAAACCACAGGCCGUGUUCUUACGCUGACUGUAGAGAAAGAGGAGGCAAAGUAAACCUGCUGCAUAUCUACCUCAGCCCGGGCGGCCCUGUGCCUGGUCUGUAUUGUGAAUGGAGAGAUGUAU
Molecule: small nucleolar RNA, 138 nt
Filed under: Castor canadensis (American beaver)
Lineage: Eukaryota; Metazoa; Chordata; Mammalia; Rodentia; Castoridae
Description: Small nucleolar RNA SNORA51 (ENSCCNG00000023721.1)
Rfam family: Small nucleolar RNA SNORA51
About the family: ACA51 is a member of the H/ACA class of snoRNA that guide the sites of modification of uridines to pseudouridines.
Source: Rfam by way of RNAcentral